Molecule: long non-coding RNA, 1183 nt
Filed under: Capra hircus (goat)
Lineage: Eukaryota; Metazoa; Chordata; Mammalia; Artiodactyla; Bovidae
Description: lncRNA (ENSCHIG00010006675.1)
Source: RNAcentral
GGGGUGGGGGAGCCCGGGGUGGGGUGGCGGGGGGGUAGGGUAGGAGCCCCACUGCCGCUCGUUUCCCCGGGACUUUGGACAAGCCUCUGAUUUACAGCUGAGUACCUCGGCUUGAGAUCUCUUGAGUCAAGGACUAGCCCUGUCUUCCUUCCCGCCCCGAGCGUCUUCAUUUGCUGCAGGGGCUCCACGUGCCCGGCCUGGGUGCUUCCGUUCGAACGGCGGUGUCAUUUGCUUAGAGACAGGACUCGGACUCACAUCCACCCCACACGGAGGCUGCACCUCUAGCCGGCAUCCUUCGGUCUCGAAGCUGGCGGCCACCUGGAGACCGGAAGUGACAGACCAGAGAGACAGCUGGACCCCCCCCACAGACUCCCUGCGCCUCCUGGAGUCCUCUGAUGCCCUCAGCCCUCCUCGCCCUCCGGUGGCUGCCCACUGCUCCAAGGACAAAGCCCAGACCGAGGCCUCGCACGCCCUCCCUGCCUCCUGGAAGGGUCUGCUGACCCCGCCUGCCUCUUUUCCGUCCUGCCGCAGCAGCCUUCUUCUCUGUUGCUCUAGCACGCAGUCCAUCCCUGCCUCAGGGCGUCUGCCCUUGCUAAUCCCUCAUCUGGAAAGUUCUUCGCUCAAAUGGCCAGUAGCUGGUUCUGCUCUGCCUCGCCUUUGCCGAGAGGGUCCCUCCCCGGAGGCACAGCCCCUGAUUGCCUGCUCCUCCAGCUGACAGCUUCUGGAAAAGCAGAUCAACAGUGAACAUUUGCAAAGCUGAGGUACAUCAAAGGGUGCGCUUUUAAAAGGGAAGGCUCACCGAGGCAAUGUGAAUCAUGGCCCCCAAGAUGCGGUUGUGUGGAUUCAGAACUUGCUCAUCGGGGUUUCUCUGAAAACUCACACAGGCCACUGCAUUCACAGAGAGCCCCGAGUGGCUGAGCAGCCUGGCCCUGCCGUCGCGCGGACCUGAGUGUGAGAACUGGCACAGCCCCAUGCUAGCUGUGUGGUACCUGCUGGUCACUCAGCUGCUCUGUGCCUGGGUGUCCUCCUCCGAAGGUGGACAUAGCAACUGGAGCUGCUUGAUGGACAUGGGGCCUCCCAGGUGGCUCAGUGGGUAAAGAACCCACCUGUGGUGCGGGAGACGCAGGAGAUGCGGGUUCGAUCCCUGGGUCUGGAAGAUCCCCUGGAGGAGGGCACAGCAACC